This 72-nucleotide transfer RNA is filed under the name Beta vulgaris subsp. vulgaris (sugar beet). It matches the Rfam family "tRNA". Rfam says of the family: Transfer RNA (tRNA) molecules are approximately 80 nucleotides in length. Their secondary structure includes four short double-helical elements and three loops (D, anti-codon, and T loops). Further hydrogen bonds mediate the characteristic L-shaped molecular structure. tRNAs have two regions of fundamental functional importance: the anti-codon, which is responsible for specific mRNA codon recognition, and the 3' end, to which the tRNAs corresponding amino acid is attached (by aminoacyl-tRNA synthetases). tRNAs cope with the degeneracy of the genetic code in two manners: having more than one tRNA (with a specific anti-codon) for a particular amino acid; and 'wobble' base-pairing, i.e. permitting non-standard base-pairing at the 3rd anti-codon position. Lineage: Eukaryota; Viridiplantae; Streptophyta; Magnoliopsida; Caryophyllales; Amaranthaceae. The record is from Rfam by way of RNAcentral.
AUCUCUUUAGUUAAAAUAGUAUAACAUCUGACUGAAGAUCAGAAAGUACAGGUGCAAGUCUUGUAAGAGAUA